Molecule: long non-coding RNA, 366 nt
Organism: Chelmon rostratus (copperband butterflyfish)
Lineage: Eukaryota; Metazoa; Chordata; Actinopteri; Chaetodontiformes; Chaetodontidae
Exons: 3
Source: RefSeq, a predicted model, not a curated record
CCAGCUUCUGAGGGAAAUAUCUGAGUGUUCGGCUGCUAAAUGCUGAGCAGAGCACCUGCAGCGGGAGCGUUUGCUUAAACAAUCGUCCUCAGAGGUGAGCGCUGAAGGAAAAACACAGAUGCUGCUCUCAUGAUGUGAUUCAAACAGUCGGAGGAGGAGGCGGCCUGGUAACGAGCCGUAGACCUACCAUGAUCUGCACUGGGUGAGUUCUUUGAAUAGUUUCUUUAACUUUGUCCACCUCCUGUAAAAACAGUUCUUUUCCUUUUCCUGAGAACUUCCUGUCUACUUGCACAAUGUGGCCGCACUCAGCUGCCCAGGUCAUUUGUUUACCAUUUGCAAAUAUCACCGUACGAAUGAGGAAGUUCU